AAGAUGAAAUUUCAGGACUAAUAUUUUACUAUGGAUUGAAGGAUAAAAUUUACUAAUAUUUUUACAAUAAUAAAAUAUUUUUCUUUUUCUUUUAAUCUCUCCUUUAACCCAUCCUUUUAUUUGUUUUAAUAUCCUUUCUUUAAGUCAUUCUUAAAACGAAAAAAAGUACAAAUAAAUCUUUAAACUUUACAGAAGGCUCACAAUCAAGCCUCUCUCUAUCUUUCUCUUCCCCACUAAUCCCACCAAAGACUCAGUCUAUAAAAGGUUAGCGCUUGGCAGUUAGUUCCCUAUACAACCAAUCCACUUCACCAUUUACACUCUU
This 322-nucleotide long non-coding RNA is filed under the name Brassica napus (rape). RNAcentral describes it as "long non-coding RNA (BNAP_LNC012550)". Lineage: Eukaryota; Viridiplantae; Streptophyta; Magnoliopsida; Brassicales; Brassicaceae. The record is from RNAcentral.